This 441-nucleotide ribosomal RNA is filed under the name uncultured bacterium. RNAcentral describes it as "partial 16S ribosomal RNA". It matches the Rfam family "Bacterial small subunit ribosomal RNA", at positions 338 to 795 of the family's 1533-position model. The record is from RNAcentral.
CCUACGGGGGGCAGCAGUGGGGAAUAUUGCACAAUGGGGGAAACCCUGAUGCAGCGACGCCGCGUGAGUGAAGAAGUAUUUCGGUAUGUAAAGCUCUAUCAGCAGGGAAGAAAAAAGACGGAACCUGACUAAGAAGCCCCUGCUAACUACGUGCCAGCAGCCGCGGUAAUACGUAGGGGGCACGCGUUAUCCGGAUUUACUGGGUGUAAAGGGAGCGUAGACGGCUGUGCAAGUCUGAAGUGAAAGGCCAGGGCUCAACCCUGGGACUGCUUGGGAAAUUGGGGGGCUAGAGUGCUGGAGAGGUAAGUGGAAUUCCUAGUGUAGCGGUGAAAUGCGUAGAUAUUAGGAGGAACACCAGUGGCGAAGGCGGCUUACUGGACAGUAACUGACGUUGAGGCUCGAAAGCGUGGGGAGCAAACAGGAUUAGAUACCCUUGUAGUC